AUUGAACGCUGGCGGCAGGCCUAACACAUGCAAGUCGAGCGGAUGAAGGGAGCUUGCUCCUGGAUUCAGCGGCGGACGGGUGAGUAAUGCCUAGGAAUCUGCCUGGUAGUGGGGGAUAACGUCCGGAAACGGGCGCUAAUACCGCAUACGUCCUGCGGGAGAAAGUGGGUGAUCUUCGGACCUCACGCUAUCAGAUGAGCCUAGGUCGGAUUAGCUAGUUGGUGGGGUAAAGGCCUACCAAGGCGACGAUCCGUAACUGGUCUGAGAGGAUGAUCAGUCACACUGGAACGGAGACACGGUACAGACUCCUACGGGAGGCAGCAGUGGGGAAUAUUGGACAAAGGGCGAAAGCCUGAUCCAGCCAUGCCGCGUGUGUGAAGAAGGUCUUCGGAUUGGAAAGCACGGUAAGUGGGGAGGAAGGGCAGUAAGUUAAUACCUUGCUGUUUUGACGGUACCAACAGAAUAAGCACCGGCUAACUUCGUG
RNAcentral lists this ribosomal RNA (484 nucleotides) under uncultured bacterium. Its description in RNAcentral is "partial 16S ribosomal RNA". It matches the Rfam family "Bacterial small subunit ribosomal RNA", at positions 30 to 507 of the family's 1533-position model. The record is from RNAcentral.